Molecule: ribosomal RNA, 482 nt
Filed under: uncultured bacterium
Lineage: Bacteria
Description: partial 16S ribosomal RNA
Rfam family: Bacterial small subunit ribosomal RNA
Source: RNAcentral
AUUGAACGCUGGCGGCAUGCUUUACACAUGCAAGUCGAACGGCAGCGCGGGGCAACCUGGCGGCGAGUGGCGAACGGGUGAGUAAUAUAUCGGAACGUACCCAAGAGUGGGGGAUAACGUAGCGAAAGUUACGCUAAUACCGCAUACGAUCUAAGGACGAAAGUGGGGGAUCGCAAGACCUCAUGCUCCUGGAGCGGCCGAUAUCUGAUUAGCUAGUUGGUGAGGUAAAGGCUCACCAAGGCGACGAUCAGUAGCUGGUCUGAGAGGACGACCGGCCACACUGGAACUGAGACACGGUCCAGACUCCUACGGGAGGCAGCAGUGGGGAAUGUUGGACAAUGGGCGCAAGCCUGAUCCAGCAAUGCCGCGUGAGUGAAGAAGGCCUUCGGGUUGUAAAGCUCUUUUGUCAGGGAAGAAACGGUAGAGGCUAAUAUCCUGUGCUAAUGACGGUACCUGAAGAAUAAGCACCGGCUAACUACGUG